UGGCAAAGUCGAACGCUUUGUCUUUAACUGAUCUGACGAGCUUGCUCUGAUUUCGAUUUUAUCUGACAAAGAGUGGCGAACGGGUGAGUAACACGUGGGUAACCUACCUCUUAGCAGGGGAUAACAUUUGGAAACAAGUGCUAAUACCGUAUAAUACCAACAACCGCAUGGUUGUUGGUUGAAAGAUGGUUCUGCUAUCACUAAGAGAUGGACCCGCGGUGCAUUAGCUAGUUGGUAAGGUAACGGCUUACCAAGGCAAUGAUGCAUAGCCGAGUUGAGAGACUGAUCGGCCACAAUGGGACUGAGACACGGCCCAUACUCCUACGGGAGGCAGCAGUAGGGAAUCUUCCACAAUGGGCGCAAGCCUGAUGGAGCAACGCCGCGUGUGUGAUGAAGGGUUUCGGCUCGUAAAACACUGUUAUAAGAGAAGAACGGCACUGAGAGUAACUGUUCAGUGUGUGACGGUAUCUUACCAGAAAGGAACGGCUAAAUACGUGCCAGCAGCCGCGGUAAUACGUAUGUUCCAAGCGUUAUCCGGAUUUAUUGGGCGUAAAGCGAGCGCAGACGGUUAUUUAAGUCUGAAGUGAAAGCCCUCAGCUCAACUGAGGAAUGGCUUUGGAAACUGGAUGACUUGAGUGCAGUAGAGGAAARUGGAACUCCAUGUGUAGCGGUGAAAUGCGUAAAUAUAUGGAAGAACACCAGUGGCGAAGGCGGCUUUCUGGACUGUAACUGACGUUGAGGCUCGAAAGUGUGGGUAGCAAACAGGAUUAGAUACCCUGGUAGUCCACACCGUAACGAUGACUGCUAGAUGUUCGAGGGUUUCCGC
This 826-nucleotide ribosomal RNA is filed under the name Weissella paramesenteroides. Its description in RNAcentral is "bacterial SSU rRNA". The record is from RNAcentral. Lineage: Bacteria; Bacillati; Bacillota; Bacilli; Lactobacillales; Lactobacillaceae.